UCAGGAUGAACGCUAGCGGCAGGCUUAACACAUGCAAGUCGAGGGGCAACGCGAGUAGCAAUACUUGGCGGCGACCGGCGCAAGGGUGCGUAACGCGUGAGCAACAUGCCCGUAUCAGGGGGAUAAUCCAGGGAAACUUGGUCUAAUACCCCAUAGUAAUUUUGUAAGGCAUCUUAUAAGAUUUAAAGCUUUGGUGGAUACGGAUUGGCUCGCGUGACAUUAGCUGGAUGGUAAGGUAACGGCUUACCAUGGCUAUGAUGUCUAGGGGUUCUGAGAGGAAGGUCCCCCACACUGGAACUGAGACACGGUCCAGACUCCUACGGGAGGCAGCAGUGAGGAAUAUUGGACAAUGGAUGGAAAUCUGAUCCAGCCAUGCCGCGUGAAAAGGAAGAAGGUCCUAUGGAUUGUAAACUUCUUUUGUAUGGGAGCAAUAAGGCCUACGAGUAGGCUGAUGAGAGUACCAUACGAAUAAGCACCGGCUAACUCCGUGCCAGCCGCUGC
RNAcentral lists this ribosomal RNA (501 nucleotides) under uncultured bacterium. Its description in RNAcentral is "bacterial SSU rRNA". It matches the Rfam family "Bacterial small subunit ribosomal RNA", at positions 24 to 518 of the family's 1533-position model. The record is from RNAcentral.